AUUUAAAUAGUUUAAUAAAAAAAAAUUUUAGUUUGUGAUUCUGAAGAUGCAUGAUUUAUGUUUUAAAUA
Molecule: transfer RNA, 69 nt
Filed under: Rhagophthalmus ohbai
Lineage: Eukaryota; Metazoa; Arthropoda; Insecta; Coleoptera; Rhagophthalmidae
Source: RNAcentral